AACACAUGGCCUGGAAGUGAAAGAGGCCCCAGAGGCCCAGGGCUCCAGCACCCCAGGACUGAAGGGCAAAGGGCCGUGCUCUCCUUGUUCCCUGCUGGACCCCGACAUCCAGAAGAGUGCCUGCGCACAGCUAGUGCUCAGCAGCCGUCGCCAAAUACGCUUGACAGUUUGGAGCUCAGAAGUAUUACUGAGAUUCCAGGAAAAAAAAAAAAAAAAAAAUCACUAAAGUUGGAAUUGGUUUUUGCAUAUCACUAGGUGUUCGCAAAUGGGCAGAAUCAAAAUCUAAGAGCCGGCUUCAGAAGAGGAGGAGAAAUGAUACUUUCUGAUUGUGCCCUCAUGCCAGCGCGGUUCAGAUCGGGCCCAAGAUGAAUGAAUCACCGCGGAUAUGGGAACAGACCGCUCCAUCACAGAAAUCCCCUGGCCGUUCCUGGUGCCCUGACCCCACAAGAACGCUGCCUCCACAAGUCUCGGGAUCAGAUCCCCUCUGUCUCGCCUGAGCCACAGCCUGACAACCCGCCAUAUGUUACCACGGGCCGGCGCCUCCAUUUCUCCUUUUGUUCCAUUUUUUCUUUCUUUCUUUUUAAAAGAGGAGGAGGGAAGUUUAUUUCCAAACUCCCUCGCAUCUGAUGCGCGAUGGGCUGGCAUUUGCUGUUAAAGCAGAAAAUUAUAAGGAGGGCCUAAUUGACCCUCCUGUGUCUUUGGAAAAGCCUGUCUGUGGUCUCUAAUUGACCCUCUAGGUACCCACGGAACAAUGAAUGAAUCUUCAGGAAAUAAUGGAGGGCGAUGAUUAAUAGCCUGGGUCUGGCUGGACCUGUGUCUCUCCCAGCUCUUCCCCCUGCACUUUCCUUCUUCCCUGCAUGACACUCGAGUCCCCGGAUUUCAUAAGCUGCGAUUUAUUAUUAUCGCUGAAUAAUAAACACCCUGCAGGCGACACUUUAAAAAAUCGGACCACAUCACGAUUCUGCAGAGAUUGGGGUAACAUUUAUGUAAGCUGGCAUUCUCAUUUUCUCCUUGGCUAAUGCUCGGAUGAGUCUUCCCCCACCCCGGCCGUUUUUUGUGGGCCGAGGCAAAACAGGAGGCUUCUCUCCGGUAUCUAGUAAAGUCACUGCAAACCUGAAGCCCUUUGGAAUUGGGAGGCUUUUUUUCCUAUUCCGGGGAACCAAGAGUCCCCAUUCCGCCUUGUUCAGGUGAGGAAUAAAGGCCCUUCAGGAGUGCAGCGAAUGACAAUACUAACAGUAAAAAGUGACCUCCCUUUAGGGUCAAGUGUGUAACGGCCCCUCUUACACAUCAUCUUGAGAUAAUACUCCCGCAAGCCCUGAGACGGAGUCAAUGCUAUUAUCCCCAUUUUUCAGAUGAGUAAGCUGAGGCUGCAGAGAAAGUAAUUUGCCCAGAGUCACAAGGUCCCCAUUUCUGUAUGUCUCACAAUGUUCAACAAUACCUGUGCCAAAUGUACAAUACUAAAGGGAAAUUUUUUUGAAAUAAUGGGUAAAAGAAUAAAAAGGAAUGAAUGCCUUUCCUUUCUUUUAGUUUGGCUUUAAAAUGCU
Long non-coding RNA from Physeter macrocephalus (sperm whale), 1544 nucleotides. RefSeq lists it as uncharacterized. The record is from RefSeq and is a predicted model, not a curated record. The transcript has 3 exons. Lineage: Eukaryota; Metazoa; Chordata; Mammalia; Artiodactyla; Physeteridae.